RNAcentral lists this long non-coding RNA (394 nucleotides) under Cervus hanglu yarkandensis (Yarkand deer). Its description in RNAcentral is "lncRNA (ENSCHYG00000023305.1)". Lineage: Eukaryota; Metazoa; Chordata; Mammalia; Artiodactyla; Cervidae. The record is from RNAcentral.
UUUGUUUCAGCCUUCAUGGUACUGGAAUUAAAAAAUCUGUCUGUGUGUGGUGUUAAUGUAUUUAGCAGCAUGAUUGAUUUAACAGAGCCUCGGUGAGGCGGACCAGGAGAGCACUCUCUCAAAAGGCCAACCUGGAGGAGCGUGUUCCACGUCUAGUAGCCGGCGGAAAUCACGAUGAAUUGGAACACACUCUUUGGAGCUUGACUGAAGACAAAAGGCGCCUGGCAGAUGUGGGUUGGAUGGUUAAAUUGGGCUCCAGGAGAGAAUGGGAGAGGAAUCUUCUGUGUCUCCAAGCAAAGAUGUGAAGAAGACAGAAGCUGUUUUGGUCAUAAGGGAGGUCCCAUUUAGUUUUGCAAUACUGAAGAAUUGCACAGAGUGACUAAAAUUAUUACAA